Molecule: small RNA, 170 nt
Filed under: uncultured Prevotella sp.
Lineage: Bacteria; Pseudomonadati; Bacteroidota; Bacteroidia; Bacteroidales; Prevotellaceae
Description: Bacteroidales-1 6S-Bacteroidales RNA suggested
Rfam family: Bacteroidales-1 6S-Bacteroidales RNA suggested
Source: RNAcentral
UGUUUCGAUUCGAUCGGGAUACUCAUCAAAUUAUUAUGAAAACAGAGAAAGCUUCUCUUGCUUAUGGCGGGCCACAUUAUUGCUCUGUAAUAUAGCUUAAAAGCCGGUGGAUUACAGAGGCGGAGAGCGCUCACAACGUUAAUUACCGGAGUUUUCAUCACAUCAUCGUA